AGUGAACGCUGGCGGUAGGCCUAACACAUGCAAGUCGAACGGCAGCACAGUAAGAGCUUGCUCUUACGGGUGGCGAGUGGCGGACGGGUGAGGAAUACAUCGGAAUCUACUUUUUCGUGGGGGAUAACGUAGGGAAACUUACGCUAAUACCGCAUACGACCUACGGGUGAAAGCAGGGGAUCUUCGGACCUUGCGCGAUUGAAUGAGCCGAUGUCGGAUUAGCUAGUUGGCGGGGUGAAGGCCCACCCAGGCGACGAUCCGUAGCUGGUCUGAGAGGAUGAUAAGCGACACUGGAACUGAGACACGGUCCAGACUCCUACGGGAGGCAGCAGUGGGGAAGAUUGGACAAUGGGCGCAAGCCUGAUCCAGCCAUACCGCGUGGGUGAAGAAGGCCUUCGGGUUGUAAAGCCCUUUUGUUGGGAAAGAAAAGCAGCAGGUUAAUACCCCGCUGUUCUGACGGUACCCAAAGAAUAAGCACCGGCUAACUUCGUG
RNAcentral lists this ribosomal RNA (492 nucleotides) under uncultured bacterium. RNAcentral's name for it is "partial 16S ribosomal RNA". It matches the Rfam family "Bacterial small subunit ribosomal RNA", at positions 29 to 507 of the family's 1533-position model. The record is from RNAcentral.